RNAcentral lists this microRNA precursor (76 nucleotides) under Schistosoma mansoni. RNAcentral's name for it is "mir-3492 microRNA precursor family". It matches the Rfam family "mir-3492 microRNA precursor family". Lineage: Eukaryota; Metazoa; Platyhelminthes; Trematoda; Strigeidida; Schistosomatidae. The record is from Rfam by way of RNAcentral.
AGCCUUCUGUAUCGGUGCUGAGAUUUUGUCACACAGCAGACCACAAGGACUGAUGAGACACAAGAUAAGCGAAGCA